RNAcentral lists this ribosomal RNA (253 nucleotides) under uncultured bacterium. RNAcentral's name for it is "partial 16S ribosomal RNA". It matches the Rfam family "Bacterial small subunit ribosomal RNA", at positions 524 to 776 of the family's 1533-position model. The record is from RNAcentral.
UACAGAGGGGGCAAGCGUUGUUCGGAAUUACUGGGCGUAAAGGGCGCGUAUGCGGCCUGCUAAGUCGAACGUGAAAUCCCCGGGCUCAACCCGGGAACUGCGUCCGAUACUGGCUGGCUUGAAUCCGGGAGAGGGAUGCGGAAUUCCAGGUGUAGCGGUGAAAUGCGUAGAUAUCUGGAGGAACACCAAUGGCGAAGGCAGCUUGCUGGGACGGUACUGACGCUGAGACGCGAAAGCGUGGGGAGCAAACAGG